This 74-nucleotide transfer RNA is filed under the name Candidatus Poseidoniaceae archaeon. Its description in RNAcentral is "tRNA-Cys". It matches the Rfam family "tRNA". Rfam says of the family: Transfer RNA (tRNA) molecules are approximately 80 nucleotides in length. Lineage: Archaea; Methanobacteriati; Thermoplasmatota; Candidatus Poseidoniia; Candidatus Poseidoniales; Candidatus Poseidoniaceae. The record is from RNAcentral.
GCACGGUUGUCAGAGCGGCUAUGAGCGGGGUUGCAGACCCUGAAACGGGAGUUCAAAUCUCUCACCGUGCUCCA